AGUGAACGCUGGCGGUAGGCCUAACACAUGCAAGUCGAACGGCAGCACAGUAAGAGCUUGCUCUUACGGGUGGCGAGUGGCGGACGGGUGAGGAAUACAUCGGAAUCUACUUUUUCGUGGGGGAUAACGGAGGGAAACUUACGCUAAUACCGCAUACGACCUACGGGUGAAAGCAGGGGAUCUUCGGACCUUGCGCGAUUGAAUGAGCCGAUGUCGGAUUAGCUAGUUGGGGGGGUAAAGGCCCACCAAGGCGACGAUACGUAGCUGGUCUGAGAGGGUGAUCAGCCACACUGGAACUGAGACACGGUCCAGACUCCUACGGGAGGCAGCAGUGGGGAAUAUUCGACAAUGGGCGCAAGCCUGAUCCAGCCAUACCGCGUGAGUGAAGAAGGCCUUCGGGUUGUAAAGCCCUUUUGUUGGGAAAGAAAAGCAGCAGGUGAAUACCCCGCUGUUUUGACGGUACCCAAAGAAUAAGCACCGGCUAACUUCGUG
RNAcentral lists this ribosomal RNA (492 nucleotides) under uncultured bacterium. RNAcentral's name for it is "partial 16S ribosomal RNA". It matches the Rfam family "Bacterial small subunit ribosomal RNA", at positions 29 to 507 of the family's 1533-position model. The record is from RNAcentral.